Molecule: long non-coding RNA, 1293 nt
Filed under: Homo sapiens (human)
Lineage: Eukaryota; Metazoa; Chordata; Mammalia; Primates; Hominidae
Description: HSALNT0264746
Source: RNAcentral
CAGCCAGUAGCCCAGUGUAUCUAAGAGCUGUGUCACCAUCCAUUGCCACCAGCUGGCUCUGCUGUCACAUCUGGGCUCUCAUUUGAGUGAUGUCUCACAGAAGCCUGAAAAAUGGAAUUACAAGCGGAGAGGCCAGCAAAGGCAGAAUGCCAGAGAAUCCAGCCAUCAUGCUGUGACGCAGCCCUGUGGAAAGGCCCACAUCUGUGAGCUUGGAAGCUGAUCUUCUGAGGCCUGCCCACAGCCAUGGGAGAGUGGAUAAGCUCAGAAGCUGGCUUUCCCCAAGCCAAGCCUUGAGACGACUGCAGCCCUGGCUGACAUUCUGAUUGCAGUCUUGUGAGAGACUCUGAUCCAGCACCACACAGCCAAGAUGCUCCUUCAUUCCUGACCCUGAGGAACAGUGAGAGUAUACAUUUGUUGUUUCCAGCUUCUAAGUUUUGGGGUAUGCAUUUGUUACAAAGCAAUGGAUAACUAACACAUAUUUUGGGUCCAGCCUGAUAUGGUUUGGAUCUGUGUCCCCACCCAAAUCUCAUAUCUAGUUGUAGUCCCCAGUGUUAGAGUUGGGACCUGGUGGGAGGUGAUUAGAUCAUGGGGGGUGGUUUCUAAUGGUUUAACACCGUCCCCCUUGGAGCAGUCAUCAUGAUGGUGAGUUCUCAUGAGAUCUGGUUGUUUAAAAUGUGUAAUACCCCACACCUCUCUCUUUCUCCUGCUCCAGCCAUGUAAGACAUGCCUGCUUCCUCUUGGCCUUCUGUCUUGAUUGUAACUUUCCUGAGGUCUCCCAAGUCAUGCUUCCUGUACAGCCUGCAGAACUGUGAGCCAAUUAAAUCUGUUUUCUUUAUAAAUUACGCACUUUCAGGUAUUUAUAGCAAUUCACGAACAGACUAAUACACAGGCUUUGCAAAAAUGUGCAUAGCCCAGGAGCACCCCACCCCAAAACAGCCAGUAUAAGACUAACAGGAGCAAGAAAGAGAGGGGUGAGGACAAGGACGGGUGUGAGGAAUCUGGAGGAUUUCUUUGGCCCCUCGGCCAUUCCCUCCUGCUUUCCUUCCCAGGAGGUUGUGGUCUUUCAGAACAAUCAGCCAAGCAGAAAACAGUCUUCUCUGGGUUAAGAUGGCAGCAACAAGUAAUUUAAUACUUAAUCUUGAUUGGAUUAGUAGCAAAGGCAUUGGCUAGUCUCUCUAGCUGAGACGAGGACAGUUUAGCCUGUCUAAAUUAAAUCUCUUCGGCAUCAUUGGUUUGAACAGCCUACUCAUUUUUGCUGCAGAUGCUCUAUACAUUUUUGUUGUUGUUGUUGUU